UCCGCACGAGCGCACCCUCAGUUUUUAGUUGCCUUAUGGAACUCUAGAAAGACUGCCGGUUAUAAACCGGAGGAAGGCGGGGAUGACGUCAAGUCAGCAUGCCCCUUACACCCUGGGCUACACACGUGCUACAAUGGGUGAGACAAUGAGAUGCAACUCUGUGAAGACUAGCUAAUCUAUAAACUUACUCUAAGUUCGGAUUGUAGGCUGCAACUCGCCUGCAUGAAGUUGGAAUCGCUAGUAAUCGCUGGUCAGCUACACAGCGGUGAAUUCGUUCCCGGGCCUU
Molecule: ribosomal RNA, 286 nt
Filed under: uncultured bacterium
Lineage: Bacteria
Description: partial 16S ribosomal RNA
Rfam family: Bacterial small subunit ribosomal RNA
Source: RNAcentral